RNAcentral lists this ribosomal RNA (494 nucleotides) under uncultured bacterium. RNAcentral's name for it is "bacterial SSU rRNA". It matches the Rfam family "Bacterial small subunit ribosomal RNA", at positions 33 to 507 of the family's 1533-position model. The record is from RNAcentral.
GACGACGCUGGCGGCGUGCUUAACACAUGCAAGUCGAACGGACGAGUGAGAUAAGUUUACUUAACUCACAAGUUAGUGGCGGACGGGUGAGUAACACGUGGAUAAUCUACCUGCAACACCGGGAUAACGCUGUGAAAACGGUGCUAAUACCGGAUACGUUCCCUUGUGCGCAUGUAUGAGGGAAGAAAGCUCAGGCGGUUGCAGAUGAGUCCGCGGCUGAUUAGCUAGUUGGUGAGGUAAAGGCUCACCAAGGCGAUGAUCAGUAGCCGGCCUGAGAGGGUGAACGGCCACACUGGGACUGAGACACGGCCCAGACUCCUACGGGAGGCAGCAGUGGGGAAUCUUCCGCAAUGGGCGCAAGCCUGACGGAGCAACGCCGCGUGGGUGAAGAAGGCCUUCGGGUUGUAAACUGCUUUUGUACGGAACGAAACGGUGAGCUCUAAUAAAGCUUGCUAAUGACGGUACCGUAAGAAUAAGCACCGGCUAACUACGUG